Molecule: transfer RNA, 98 nt
Filed under: Myxococcota bacterium
Lineage: Bacteria; Pseudomonadati; Myxococcota
Description: tRNA-Sec
Rfam family: Selenocysteine transfer RNA
Source: RNAcentral
GGAAGCGCUUGGUUUGCUGGUGCAGCCCUUGGUCUUCAACACCAAUGUGGGGGGUGAGAAAUUUCCCAGGCGGGUUCGAUUCCCGUGCGCUUCCGCCA